Molecule: ribosomal RNA, 460 nt
Filed under: uncultured bacterium
Lineage: Bacteria
Description: partial 16S ribosomal RNA
Rfam family: Bacterial small subunit ribosomal RNA
Source: RNAcentral
CCUACGGGAGGCAGCAGUGAGGAAUAUUGGUCAAUGGACGAGAGUCUGAACCAGCCAAGUAGCGUGAAGGAUGACUGCCCUAUGGGUUGUAAACUUCUUUUAUAUGGGAAUAAAAUGUCUUACGUGUGGGUUUUUGUAUGUACCAUAUGAAUAAGGAUCGGCUAACUCCGUGCCAGCAGCCGCGGUAAUACGGAGGAUCCGAGCGUUAUCCGGAUUUAUUGGGUUUAAAGGGAGCGUAGGUGGAUUGUUAAGUCAGUUGUGAAAGUUUGGGGCUCAACCGUAGAAUUGCAGUUGAGACUGGCAGUCUUGAGUGCGGUAGAGGUGGGCGGAAUUCGUGGUGUAGCGGUGAAAUGCUUAGAUAUCACGAAGAACUCCGAUUGCGAAGGCAGCUCACUGGACUGCAACUGACACUGAGGCUCGAAAGUGUGGGUAUCAAACAGGAUUAGAUACCCUAGUAGUC